AAACAAGAAGCAACUACUGCGGUCCGGUUUCGGCCCGGUCAGAGAAGAUAUAACUUCCUUGUUUU
This 65-nucleotide transfer RNA is filed under the name Chloeia sp. r EEE-2022. Its description in RNAcentral is "tRNA-Arg". Lineage: Eukaryota; Metazoa; Annelida; Polychaeta; Eunicida; Amphinomidae. The record is from RNAcentral.